Molecule: transfer RNA, 76 nt
Filed under: Caudoviricetes sp.
Lineage: Duplodnaviria; Heunggongvirae; Uroviricota; Caudoviricetes
Description: tRNA-Leu
Rfam family: tRNA
About the family: Transfer RNA (tRNA) molecules are approximately 80 nucleotides in length. Their secondary structure includes four short double-helical elements and three loops (D, anti-codon, and T loops).
Source: RNAcentral
GCGCGAGUAGUCGAACGGCAUAGACACUACGCUAAGGACGUAGGAUUUGUGGGUUCAAAUCCCACCUUGCGCACCA